AAAUUUUCCAUAUUUGUCUUUGCGUGUAUGCUAUUAAGUUUCAAUGUUCAAGAUUUCAAGUACUUAGAGAUGGUUUGAUAUCUAACCCAAACUGUCAUAAAUAUGUUUGUUUUUUGUGGUCAAACAUUUUAAGUUUUUAUUAUUUUUUGAACUGCAUGAAUUCAUGACUUUCCAUAAAUUGCAAUUAAUCUAUGUUUCCAGUCAGGAAAUAAAGAGGAAUUUUCACCAAAUUGAAUUGGUGGCAUGAGGUGGAUUUGGGGCGGGAAGGGGGACUCAACUUC
RNAcentral lists this long non-coding RNA (281 nucleotides) under Nicotiana benthamiana. Its description in RNAcentral is "long non-coding RNA (NBEN_LNC007562)". Lineage: Eukaryota; Viridiplantae; Streptophyta; Magnoliopsida; Solanales; Solanaceae. The record is from RNAcentral.